GACGUAGGGUGCGAGCGUUGUCCGGAUUUAUUGGGCGUAAAGAGCUUGUAGGCGGUUUGUCGCGUCUGCUGUGAAAUUUCGGGGCUCAACCCCGAACUUGCAGUGGGUACGGGCAGACUAGAGUGUGGUAGGGGAGACUGGAAUUCCUGGUGUAGCGGUGAAAUGCGCAGAUAUCAGGAGGAACACCGAUGGCGAAGGCAGGUCUCUGGGCCAUAACUGACGCUGAGAAGCGAAAGCAUGGGGAGCGAACAGG
RNAcentral lists this ribosomal RNA (253 nucleotides) under uncultured bacterium. RNAcentral's name for it is "partial 16S ribosomal RNA". It matches the Rfam family "Bacterial small subunit ribosomal RNA", at positions 524 to 776 of the family's 1533-position model. The record is from RNAcentral.